GACUUGACCCCAACUCAGUCACACUGACGGUGAACGGGAAGAACGAGUAGCAGGUGUGUUCCUACGUCUAGAAGAGAGGGCGCUGGCUGGUCCUAACUAUGACCAACUGGACGUAGACUUCUUUGGCAUAUUCAACACAAGACUACAUUGGACACUACCAUGCCCGCAGUGAAGAAAAGAAAUUUCUGUUGGUGUUUGGGCGGCACCCGUCCCCCAGAGAUCACCUUCGACCCCGCUGUCAACGGCACUGCCCUGCAGUCUUUCCACGCUGGCGGCCUCCUCCCCAUGCCUGAGGAUGAGGAGGAGCUGAACGUAAAAUUUGCUGAAC
Long non-coding RNA from Lingula anatina, 328 nucleotides. NCBI's taxonomy places the organism in Eukaryota, Metazoa, Brachiopoda, Lingulata, Lingulida, Lingulidae. The record is from RefSeq and is a predicted model, not a curated record.